Molecule: small nucleolar RNA, 138 nt
Organism: Ornithorhynchus anatinus (platypus)
Lineage: Eukaryota; Metazoa; Chordata; Mammalia; Monotremata; Ornithorhynchidae
Source: RefSeq, a predicted model, not a curated record
CCCCCCUCAGGGUCGCACCUGGAGAGUUUCCAAUAUUCUACCAGUCUCAGCUACGGGAGGGGGAGGCAAGCAGAGGCCUAGCCGUUCCGUUCCUAGCUUGGGCAGUGACUAGCGAGUGGAAGACAAUCUGCCACAAGU